GUCGAGAAUAAUUCACAAUGGACGAAAGUCUGAUGGUGCAACGCCGCGUGGAGGAUGACGGUCUUCGGAUUGUAAACUCCUGUCAUCCGGGAGUAAGACCUGGCUGUGAAUAGCAGACAGGGUUGAUAGUACCGGAAGAGGAAGGGACGGCUAACUUCGUGCCAGCAGCCGCGGUAAUACGAAGGUCCCGAGCGUUGUUCGGAAUCACUGGGCGUAAAGGGAGCGUAGGCGGCGUGGUAAGUCAGAUGUGAAAUCCCGGGGCUCAACCCCGGAACUGCAUCCGAUACUGCCGUGCUAGAGGAUUGGAGAGGUAGCUGGAAUUCUUGGUGUAGCAGUGAAAUGCGUGGAGAUCAAGAGGAACACUCGUGGCGAAAGCGAGCUACUGGACAAUAUCUGACGCUGAGGCUCGAAGGCCAGGGUAGCGAAAGGGAUUAGAUACCCCUGUAGUCC
This 450-nucleotide ribosomal RNA is filed under the name uncultured bacterium. RNAcentral's name for it is "partial 16S ribosomal RNA". It matches the Rfam family "Bacterial small subunit ribosomal RNA", at positions 354 to 796 of the family's 1533-position model. The record is from RNAcentral.